CGCCGCUCCAGCUCGCCGCCGCGCCGGACGCCGGACGCCGCGUGUUACGCGCUCUGUAACCGACUACCAGGCCACCAGAAGCUGUGAGGAGAUUUAACCGCCGACCAACUUCGUGGAAAACGGUAAUUAACCGGCAUUCCAAAAUUAAUAAGCCUGCAGCCAGCAUAAAUCGGUGCUGAUUGGUUGCAAGCGCUGAAGAGGGACGGAUGAAUUUAACUACUAAG
Long non-coding RNA from Ostrinia furnacalis (Asian corn borer), 224 nucleotides. RefSeq lists it as uncharacterized. The record is from RefSeq and is a predicted model, not a curated record. The transcript has 3 exons. Lineage: Eukaryota; Metazoa; Arthropoda; Insecta; Lepidoptera; Crambidae.